RNAcentral lists this ribosomal RNA (469 nucleotides) under uncultured bacterium. Its description in RNAcentral is "partial 16S ribosomal RNA". It matches the Rfam family "Bacterial small subunit ribosomal RNA", at positions 28 to 507 of the family's 1533-position model. The record is from RNAcentral.
GAUGAACGCUGGCGGCGUGCUUAACACAUGCAAGUCGAACGGUGAACACGGAGCUUGCUCUGUGGGAUCAGUGGCGAACGGGUGAGUAACACGUGAGCAACCUGCCCCUGACUCUGGGAUAAGCGCUGGAAGCGGCGUCUAAUACUGGAUAUGUGACGUGACCGCAUGGUCUGCGUUUGGAAAGAUUUUUCGGUCGGGGAUGGGCUCGCGGCCUAUCAGCUUGUUGGUGAGGUAAUGGCUCACCAAGGCGUCGACGGGUAGCCGGCCUGAGAGGGUGACCGGCCACACUGGGACUGAGACACGGCCCAGACUCCUACGGGAGGCAGCAGUGGGGAAUAUUGCACAAUGGGCGCAAGCCUGAUGCAGCAACGCCGCGUGAGGGAUGACGGCCUUCGGGUUGUAAACCUCUUUUAGCAGGGAAGAAGCGAAAGUGACGGUACCUGCAGAAAAAGCGCCGGCUAACUACGUG